RNAcentral lists this transfer RNA (35 nucleotides) under Bavayia kunyie. Its description in RNAcentral is "partial tRNA-Cys". Lineage: Eukaryota; Metazoa; Chordata; Lepidosauria; Squamata; Diplodactylidae. The record is from RNAcentral.
AAANUUAAAAAAGUUCCUAUUUGGUUCCGGGGCCU